Non-coding RNA from Pelobates cultripes (western spadefoot toad), 156 nucleotides. The record is from the annotation of a GenBank genome assembly. NCBI's taxonomy places the organism in Eukaryota, Metazoa, Chordata, Amphibia, Anura, Pelobatidae.
CGAUCUAGAGCAGGGGUAGGAAACCUUUGGCACUCCAGAUGGUAUGGACUACUUCUCCCCUGAUGCUUUGCCAGCAUUAUGUCUGUAAGAGCAACAUGUGAGAUGCAGUCCACAACAUGUGGAGUGCCAAAGGUUGCCUACUCCUGAUCUAGAAAA